This 440-nucleotide long non-coding RNA is filed under the name Phoenix dactylifera (date palm). Its description in RNAcentral is "long non-coding RNA (PDAC_LNC022400)". The record is from RNAcentral. Lineage: Eukaryota; Viridiplantae; Streptophyta; Magnoliopsida; Arecales; Arecaceae.
GUUAUCUAUGUAUACAAAAUCAUUAAGUUGUCUAGGGAGGGUCUCAGACCAAAACCAACAGCCCCCAUGCUCUCCAGCAAAACAAGCCAAAAAAUUGGCUGGUUGAUUGGCCUGUCUGAAAAUGUGUGAAACCCAAAACUCCUGUAGCUGUGACACCAUGUGCCAUAUAUCAAGAGUACAUGGGUGGGCCUAUGCAAUGGAAGUUGGCUGCAUUGUAUCCAUUUAACCAUCAUGAGGGAGUCUCCCUCCAACCAAAAUCUGAGGGGUCAUAGUUGCGAAUUGCGAUAUUGCCAAUGUCAUAGCCUCCCACGUGGCACACAGAUCAGCCAUAGAGAUCGUUAUACCCAAAAUUGGGCAAGCUCUAACUGCUUGAACCUUGCCUUGGUGGUCUGGGACUAAGUAACCCACACCUGCUACCUUGUUGCAUUGCCUGAAGGAAG